This 379-nucleotide ribosomal RNA is filed under the name Proasellus walteri. Its description in RNAcentral is "partial 16S ribosomal RNA". It matches the Rfam family "Bacterial large subunit ribosomal RNA", at positions 1980 to 2597 of the family's 2925-position model. Lineage: Eukaryota; Metazoa; Arthropoda; Malacostraca; Isopoda; Asellidae. The record is from RNAcentral.
UUAGGAGCUGGAAUGAAAGAGGCGACGAAAUCUAGACUAUUUAAGUUUUAGUAUAAAUUGACAAGCGGGUCAAAAGGCCCGCAUGCACCAGGGGGACGAUAAGACCCUAUAAAACUUUACUCUCAGGCCGGUGGCUAGCAGGAAGUGUGGUGUUUGAGAGUUUAACUGGGGCGGUUAUUAUAGAAACAAUUAUACAUAAAAUAUAUUAUAUAGAUUGGUAGAACUCUCUAGAGAAAUAGAACAAGUUACUUUAGGGAUAACAGCGUGAUCCCCCCAGAGAGUCCUGAUUGGCGGGGGGGCUUACGACCUCGAUGUUGAAUUGGGAAUUCCUAUAUAAGCAAACAUAUAUAUAGACAGUCUGUUCGACUAUUAAACUCCC